AACGAACGCUGGCGGCAGGCCUAACACAUGCAAGUCGAGCGCCCAGCAAUGGGAGCGGCAGACGGGUGAGUAACACGUGGGAACCUUCCCUAUAGUACGGAAUAUACCAGGGAAACUUGGAGCAAUACCGUAUACGCCCGAGAGGGGAAAGAUUUAUCGCUAUAGGAUGGGCCCGCGUUGGAUUAGCUAGUUGGUGAGGUAACGGCUCACCAAGGCAACGAUCCAUAGCUGGUUUGAGAGAAUGACCAGCCACACUGGGACUGAGACACGGCCCAGACUCCUACGGGAGGCAGCAGUGGGGAAUCUUGGACAAUGGGCGCAAGCCUGAUCCAGCCAUGCCGCGUGAGUGAUGAAGGCCUUAGGGUUGUAAAGCUCUUUUGCCGGGGACGAUAAUGACGGUACCCGGAGAAUAAGCUCCGGCUAACUCCGUGCCAGCAGCCGCCGUAA
RNAcentral lists this ribosomal RNA (447 nucleotides) under uncultured bacterium. RNAcentral's name for it is "partial 16S ribosomal RNA". It matches the Rfam family "Bacterial small subunit ribosomal RNA", at positions 29 to 523 of the family's 1533-position model. The record is from RNAcentral.